AGCUUGCUAUUUUUAUGAAGAGCGGCGAACGGGUGAGUAACGCGUGGGAAAUCUGCCGAGUAGCGGGGGACAACGUUUGGAAACGAACGCUAAUACCGCAUAACAAUGAGAAUCGCAUGAUUCUUAUUUAAAAGAAGCAAUUGCUUCACUACUUGAUGAUCCCGCGUUGUAUUAGCUAGUUGGUAGUGUAAAGGACUACCAAGGCGAUGAUACAUAGCCGACCUGAGAGGGUGAUCGGCCACACUGGGACUGAGACACGGCCCAGACUCCUACGGGAGGCAGCAGUAGGGAAUCUUCGGCAAUGGGGGCAACCCUGACCGAGCAACGCCGCGUGAGUGAAGAAGGUUUUCGGAUCGUAAAACUCUGUUGUUAGAGAAGAACGUUAAGUAGAGUGGAAAAUUACUUAAGUGACGGUAUCUAACCAGAAAGGGACGGCUAACUACGUGCCAGCAGCCGCGGUAAUACGUAGGUCCCAAGCGUUGUCCGGAUUUAUUGGGCGUAAAGCGAGCGCAGGUGGUUUCUUAAGUCUGAUGUAAAAGGCAGUGGCUCAACCAUUGUGUGCAUUGGAAACUGGGAGACUUGAGUGCAGGAGAGGAGAGUGGAAUU
RNAcentral lists this ribosomal RNA (606 nucleotides) under Lactococcus garvieae. Its description in RNAcentral is "bacterial SSU rRNA". It matches the Rfam family "Bacterial small subunit ribosomal RNA", at positions 65 to 668 of the family's 1533-position model. The record is from RNAcentral. Lineage: Bacteria; Bacillati; Bacillota; Bacilli; Lactobacillales; Streptococcaceae.